This 22-nucleotide transfer RNA is filed under the name Xiphophorus nezahualcoyotl (mountain swordtail). RNAcentral describes it as "partial tRNA-Glu". The record is from RNAcentral. Lineage: Eukaryota; Metazoa; Chordata; Actinopteri; Cyprinodontiformes; Poeciliidae.
UAGGGUUCUUGUAGUUGAAUAA